GAUGAACGCUGGCGGCGUGCCUAAUACAUGCAAGUCGAGCGAACAGACGAGGAGCUUGCUUCUCUGAUGUUAGCGGCGGACGGGUGAGUAACACGUGGAUAACCUACCUAUAAGACUGGGAUAACUUCGGGAAACCGUAGCUAAUACCGGAUAAUAUAUUGAACCGCAUGGUUCAAUAGUGAAAGACGGUUUUGCUGUCACUUAUAGAUGGAUCCGCGCUGCAUUAGCUAGUUGGUAAGGUAACGGCUUACCAAGGCAACGAUGCGUAGCCGACCUGAGAGGGUGAUCGGCCACACUGGAACUGAGACACGGUCCAGACUCCUACGGGAGGCAGCAGUAGGGAAUCUUCCGCAAUGGGCGAAAGCCUGACGGAGCAACGCCGCGUGAGUGAUGAAGGUCUUCGGAUCGUAAAACUCUGUUAUUAGGGAAGAACAUAUGUGUAAGUAACUGUGCACAUCUUGACGGUACCUAAUCAGAAAGCCACGGCUAACUACGUG
This 497-nucleotide ribosomal RNA is filed under the name uncultured bacterium. Its description in RNAcentral is "partial 16S ribosomal RNA". It matches the Rfam family "Bacterial small subunit ribosomal RNA", at positions 28 to 507 of the family's 1533-position model. The record is from RNAcentral.